Molecule: ribosomal RNA, 477 nt
Filed under: uncultured bacterium
Lineage: Bacteria
Description: partial 16S ribosomal RNA
Rfam family: Bacterial small subunit ribosomal RNA
Source: RNAcentral
GAUUAACGCUGGCGGCGUGCAUAACACAUGCAAGUCGAACGAUGAAACUUAGUAGACUUCUUCGGAAAGACACUAAGCGGCUUAGUGGCGAACGGGUGAGUAACGCGUGAGUAACCUGCCUUACACACGGGGAUAGCCUUUGGAAACGAAGAAUAAUACCCUAUAAAACCAUAAAAGCACAUGCUAGAAUGGUCAAAGUGAUAGCGGUGUAAGAUGGACUUGCGUCUGAUUAGCUAGUUGGUGAGAUAAAAGCUCACCAAGGCAACGAUCAGUAGCCGGCUUGAGAGAGUGUACGGCCACAUUGGGACUGAGACACGGCCCAGACUCCUACGGGAGGCAGCAGUGGGGAAUUUUGCACAAUGGGGGAAACCCUGAUGCAGCGACGCCGCGUGAUUUAGAAGGCCUUCGGGUUGUAAAAAUCUUUUGUAUAGGAAGAAAAUGACAGUACUAUACGAAUAAGGUCCGGCUAAUUACGUG